UACGUAGGGUGCAAGCGUUGUCCGGAAUUACUGGGCGUAAAGAGCUCGUAGGUGGUUUGUCGCGUUGUUCGUGAAAACUCACAGCUCAACUGUGGGCGUGCGGGCGAUACGGGCAGACUUGAGUGUUGCAGGGGAGACUGGAAUUCCUGGUGUAGCGGUGAAAUGCGCAGAUAUCAGGAGGGACACCGGUGGCGAAGGCGGGUCUCUGGGCAACAACUGACGCUGAGGAGCGAAAGCGUGGGGAGCGAACAGG
RNAcentral lists this ribosomal RNA (253 nucleotides) under uncultured bacterium. RNAcentral describes it as "partial 16S ribosomal RNA". It matches the Rfam family "Bacterial small subunit ribosomal RNA", at positions 524 to 776 of the family's 1533-position model. The record is from RNAcentral.